This 867-nucleotide ribosomal RNA is filed under the name uncultured archaeon. RNAcentral describes it as "bacterial SSU rRNA". It matches the Rfam family "Archaeal small subunit ribosomal RNA", at positions 125 to 995 of the family's 1478-position model. The record is from RNAcentral.
GGCAUACCCGGCAACCUGGGUAUAAUACCCGAUAGGUCUCGAUUGCUGGAAUGCAUCGAGAUUUAAAGCUCCGGCGCCUAAGGAUGGGUCUGCGGCCUAUCAGGUAGUAGUGGGUGUAGCGUACCUACUAGCCUACGACGGGUACGGGUUGUGAGAGCAAGAGCCCGGAGAUGGAUUCUGAGACACGAAUCCAGGCCCUACGGGGUGCAGCAGGCGCGAAAACUUUACAAUGCUGGCAACAGCGAUAAGGGAACCUCGAGUGCCAGGUUACAAAUCUGGCUGUCGAGAUGCCUAAAAAGCAUUUCAUAGCAAGGGCCGGGCAAGACCGGUGCCAGCCGCCGCGGUAACACCGGCGGCUCGAGUGGUAACCGUUAUUAUUGGGUCUAAAGGGUCUGUAGCCGGCCGGAUAAGUCUCUUGAGAAAUCUGGCAGCUUAACUGUCAGGCUUUCAGGAGAUACUGUCUGGCUCGAGGCCGGGAGAGGUGAGAGGUACUUCAGGGGUAGGGGUGAAAUCUUGUAAUCCUUGAAGGACCACCAGUGGCGAAGGCGUCUCACCAGAACGGACCUGACGGCAAGGGACGAAAGCUAGGGGCACGAACCGGAUUAGAUACCCGGGUAGUCCUAGCCGUAAACGAUACUCGCUAGGUGUCGGCCACGGUGCGACCGUUGUCGGUGCCGUAGGGAAGCCGUGAAGCGAGCCACCUGGGAAGUACGGCCGCAAGGCUGAAACUUAAAGGAAUUGGCGGGGGAGCACCACAACGGGUGGAGCUUGCGGUUUAUUGGAUUCAACGCCGGAAAUCUUACCGGGACCGACAGCAAUAUGAAGGCCAGGCUGAAGACUUUGCCGGAUUAGCUGAGAGUGGUGCAU